UCCCAAUGACAUCUCCUUAAUCGGAGAGUUCCCUUCGGGGACAUUGGUGACAGGUGGUGCAUGGUUGUCGUCAGCUCGUGUCGUGAGAUGUUGGGUUAAGUCCCGCAACGAGCGCAACCCUUGUCUUUAGUUGCCAUCAUUAAGUUGGGCACUCUAGAGAGACUGCCAGGGAUAACCUGGAGGAAGGUGGGGAUGACGUCAAAUCAUCAUGCCCCUUAUGCUUAGGGCUACACACGUGCUACAAUGGGUAGUACAGAGGGUUGCCAAGCCGUAAGGUGGAGCUAAUCCCUUAAAGCUACUCUCAGUUCGGAUUGUAGGCUGAAACUCGCCUACAUGAAGCUGGAGUUACUAGUAAUCGCAGAUCAGAAUGCUGCGGUGAAUGCGUUCCCGGGUCUUGUACACACCGCCCGUCACACCACGGGAGUUGGAGACGCCCGAAGCCGAUUAUCUAACCUUUUGGAAGAAGUCGUCGAAGGUGGAAUCAAUAACUGGGGUGAAGUCGUAACAAGGUAGCCGUAUCGGAAGGUGCGGCUGGAUCACCUCCUUU
RNAcentral lists this ribosomal RNA (547 nucleotides) under Clostridioides difficile. Its description in RNAcentral is "bacterial SSU rRNA". It matches the Rfam family "Bacterial small subunit ribosomal RNA", at positions 987 to 1533 of the family's 1533-position model. Lineage: Bacteria; Bacillati; Bacillota; Clostridia; Peptostreptococcales; Peptostreptococcaceae. The record is from RNAcentral.